GACUUGGUCCAACUCCUUCUGCUCUAUGGGGUAGUAGAUCUUUCUUAGAGAACAUUGAUGAAGAGGAUUCAUCUAAUGAAAUUGUACAAAGGUUAGAACAGGAGAUAAAUGAAUUGAAGGCGAAACAAAAUGAAGAAAUUAAUAUGAUGAAACAAAAUCAGGAUAAUAUGCAAUUAGAAUUACUCCAAAUGCGACAAUUCAUGCACAAACAUGCUCCUAAUGAAUCCAUGCCUCAAAAUAUCAAUGGCACCUCAAGUGGAUAGGUCCACGAAGCUGAUAGUGGCCAUGGACAAAUAACACAAACAUGAGGGAUACCUAUUGUUGCUGAAAAUACUCAAACUUCUCAUGGUGCACAAUCUGAUGUUCUGGUUUAUCUCGUGUUUCUAACCUGCCAGUCAAUGUUUCAAGUCUGACUAAAGAUCAGUCCUUCUACAUACUGUCCCACUUGCAGCACUCUCAUCUUUCACCACACACUAAUCCUCAUAGCAUCUGCUAACUUUACAGGUAAAAUCUUGACUGAUAAUGUUUUGUUCAAAACUUAUUUACUUAAUAAGAUUAGUGAUACCAUUUGGACUAUAGAUUCUGGAGCAUCAGAUCACGACAUCGAUCUGACCUUUCUUUACUCUUCAAUGUUAAAACAUUACCUUUUCCUUGUCUUGUUUCACUUCUAAAUGGAUACAAAGGUAAAGUCUCUAACAUUGUCUCCUUAACACUGUUUCCUGG
Molecule: long non-coding RNA, 723 nt
Organism: Solanum tuberosum (potato)
Lineage: Eukaryota; Viridiplantae; Streptophyta; Magnoliopsida; Solanales; Solanaceae
Exons: 3
Source: RefSeq, a predicted model, not a curated record